RNAcentral lists this ribosomal RNA (500 nucleotides) under uncultured bacterium. Its description in RNAcentral is "partial 16S ribosomal RNA". It matches the Rfam family "Bacterial small subunit ribosomal RNA", at positions 30 to 523 of the family's 1533-position model. The record is from RNAcentral.
AUUGAACGCUGGCGGCAGGCCUAACACAUGCAAGUCGAGCGGAUGAGAGGAGCUUGCUCCUCGAUUCAGCGGCGGACGGGUGAGUAAUGCCUAGGAAUCUGCCUAGUAGUGGGGGACAACGUUUCGAAAGGAACGCUAAUACCGCAUACGUCCUACGGGAGAAAGUGGGGGAUCUUCGGGCCUCACGCUAUUAGAUGAGCCUAGGUCGGAUUAGCUAGUUGGUAGGGUAACGGCCUACCAAGGCGACGAUCCGUAACUGGUCUGAGAGGAUGAUCAGUCACACUGGAACUGAGACACGGUCCAGACUCCUACGGGAGUCAGCAGUGGGGAAUAUUGGACAAUGGGCGAAAGCCUGAUCCAGCCAUGCCGCGUGUGUGAAGAAGGCCCUCGGGUCGUAAAGCACUUUAAGUUGGGAGGAAGGGCUUACAGCGAAUACCUGUGAGUUUUGACGUUACCGACAGAAUAAGCACCGGCUAACUUCGUGCCAGCAGCCGCCGUAA